AGAGUUUGAUCCUGGCUCAGGAUGAACGCUGGCGGCGUGGAUAAGGCAUGCAAGUCGAACGAUCCCUUCGGGGAUAGUGGCAAACAGGUUAGUAACACGUGGAUACCUACCUUCAAGUUGGGUAUAGCUCGGAGAAAUCCGAGGUAAUCCCCAAUAGUUCCUUACGAGGUAAAGCUUUUGCGCUUGAAGAGGGGUCCGCGUCCUAUCAGCUUGUUGGUGGGGUAAAGGCCUACCAAGGCGAUGACGGGUAGGGGGCGUGAGAGCGCGACCCCCAACAGAGGCACUGCGACACGGGCCUCACACCUACGGGUGGCUGCAGUCGAGAAUCUUCCACAAUGGGCGAAAGCCUGAUGGAGCGACGCCGCGUGCGGGAAGACGAUUUUUUAUUGUAAACCCUUUUAUGAGGGAGGAAUUUUUAUGACGUUACCUCAUGAAUAAGGGGGGGCUAAUCACGAGCCAGAAGCAUCGGUAAUACGUGACCCUCAAGCGUUAUCCGGAUUUACUGGGCGUAAAGAGUCUUAAGGCGGUUUAGAAAGUCCUUGGUUAAAUCUCUAGGCUCAACCUAGAGGCUGCCGAGGAUACUUCUAGACUAGAGGACGUUAGAGGCCAGCGGAACGCAGGGUGUAGGGGUGGAAUCCGUUGAUAUCCUGCGGAACACCAAAAGCGAAGGCAGCUGGCUGGGGCGGUCCUGACGCUGAUUGACGAAAGCUAGGGUAGCGAACAAGAUUAGAUACCUUGGUAGUCCUAGCUGUAAACGAUGGAUACUGGCCGGUGGAAGUAUCGACCCUUUCACUGGCGAAGCUAACGCGUUAAGUAUCCCGCCUGGGAAGUACGCGCGCAAGCGUAAAACUCAAAGGAAUAGACGGGGAGUUACACAAGCGGUGGACCACGUGGCUUAAUUCGACUUUAAGCGGAGAACCUUACCAGGGCUUGACAUUUUAGUGGAAAGCUGAAGGAAACUUCGGCCCUCUUCGGACCGCUAAAACAGGUGUUGCAUGGUUGUUGUCAGCAGGUGCCGUGAGGUGCAGCCUUAAUUGGUGAAACCUGCGUAACCCUUAUUCUAUGUUUUAUGUGUCAUAGAAGACUGCCAAGGUCAACUUGGAGGAAGGUGGGGACGACACCAAAUCAGCAUGGCCCUUACGCUCUGGGCAGCACACGUGGUACAAUGGCUGGUACAAAGGGUUGCGAACCCGUAAGGGGGAGCUAAUCCCAUCAAAACCAGUCCCAGUCCGGAUUGAGGUCUGCAAUUUGACCUCAUGAAGUUGGAAUCGCUAGUAAUCGCGGAUCAGCUACGCCGCGAUGAAUAUGUCACUGACUCUUGUACUCACUGCCCGUCAAGUCAGGAAAGCUGGGGAUACCCGAAGUCCACACCUAGUGUGGCCUAAGGUAGAUUCAGUGAUCAGGACUAAGUCGUAACAAGGCA
RNAcentral lists this ribosomal RNA (1423 nucleotides) under metagenome. Its description in RNAcentral is "bacterial SSU rRNA". It matches the Rfam family "Bacterial small subunit ribosomal RNA". The record is from RNAcentral.